CCUACGGGAGGCAGCAGUGAGGAAUAUUGGUCAAUGGACUUACGCCUGAACCAGCCAAGUCGCGUGAGGGAAUACUGCCCUAUGGGUUGUAAACCUCUUUUGUCAGGGAGCAACGCCGGCUACGUGUAGCCGGACUGAGUGUACCUGAAGAAAGAGUCUCGGCUAACUCCGUGCCAGCAGCCGCGGUAAUACAGAGGAUGCGAGCGUUCUCCGGAUUUAGUGGGUUUAAAGGGUGCGUAGGCGGAAUGCCAAGUCAGCGGUAAAAUCGCGGGGCUCAACCUCGCUCCGCCGUUGAAACUGGGGUUCUUGAGUGGGCGAGAAGUAUGCGGAAUGCGUGGUGUAGCGGUGAAAUGCAUAGACAUCACGCAGAACUCCGAUUGCGAAGGCAGCAUACCGGCGCCCAACUGACGCUGAAGCACGAAAGCGUGGGUAUCGAACAGGAUUAGAUACCCUUGUAGUC
Molecule: ribosomal RNA, 460 nt
Filed under: uncultured bacterium
Lineage: Bacteria
Description: partial 16S ribosomal RNA
Rfam family: Bacterial small subunit ribosomal RNA
Source: RNAcentral